RNAcentral lists this ribosomal RNA (445 nucleotides) under uncultured bacterium. Its description in RNAcentral is "partial 16S ribosomal RNA". It matches the Rfam family "Bacterial small subunit ribosomal RNA", at positions 354 to 796 of the family's 1533-position model. The record is from RNAcentral.
GUGAGGAAUAUUGGUCAAUGGGCGGGAGCCUGAACCAGCCAAGUCGCGUGAAGGAAGAAGGAUCUAUGGUUCGUAAACUUCUUUUGCAGGGGAAUAAAGUGCAGGACGUGUCCUGUUUUGUAUGUACCCUGAGAAUAAGGAUCGGCUAACUCCGUGCCAGCAGCCGCGGUAAUACGCAGGAUCCGAGCGUUAUCCGGAUUCAUUGGGUCUAAAGGGUGCGUAGGUGGUUUGAUAAGUCAGCGGUGAAAGUUUGCAGCUUAACUGUAAAAAUGCCGUUGAAACUGUCGGACUUGAGUGUAAAUGAGGUAGGCGGAAUGCGUGGUGUAGCGGUGAAAUGCAUAGAUAUCACGCAGAACUCCGAUUGCGAAGGCAGCUUACUAAGCUACAACUGACACUGAAGCACGAAAGCGUGGGGAUCAAACAGGAUUAGAAACCCGUGUAGUCC